AACAUGUACACAGGUAUACUACAGUAUAUUUUUAGGUUAAGGUUUGAUGGAACCCCUUAAAGGUACACUUAAUAUAUACAUUUCCCAGCAUAUUUGUGGAGACUGAGCGUUCAAUCCCUGCC
Etheostoma cragini (Arkansas darter) is the source of this 122-nucleotide long non-coding RNA. RefSeq lists it as uncharacterized. NCBI's taxonomy places the organism in Eukaryota, Metazoa, Chordata, Actinopteri, Perciformes, Percidae. The transcript has 3 exons. The record is from RefSeq and is a predicted model, not a curated record.